RNAcentral lists this transfer RNA (67 nucleotides) under Galeodea echinophora. RNAcentral's name for it is "tRNA-Tyr". It matches the Rfam family "tRNA". Rfam says of the family: Transfer RNA (tRNA) molecules are approximately 80 nucleotides in length. Their secondary structure includes four short double-helical elements and three loops (D, anti-codon, and T loops). Further hydrogen bonds mediate the characteristic L-shaped molecular structure. tRNAs have two regions of fundamental functional importance: the anti-codon, which is responsible for specific mRNA codon recognition, and the 3' end, to which the tRNAs corresponding amino acid is attached (by aminoacyl-tRNA synthetases). tRNAs cope with the degeneracy of the genetic code in two manners: having more than one tRNA (with a specific anti-codon) for a particular amino acid; and 'wobble' base-pairing, i.e. permitting non-standard base-pairing at the 3rd anti-codon position. Lineage: Eukaryota; Metazoa; Mollusca; Gastropoda; Littorinimorpha; Cassidae. The record is from RNAcentral.
UGUUUGGUGGCUGAGAUUGUAAGCGAUAGACUGUAGAUCUAUUAACGAAAUUAAUUUUUCCCGACAA